This 460-nucleotide ribosomal RNA is filed under the name uncultured bacterium. RNAcentral describes it as "partial 16S ribosomal RNA". It matches the Rfam family "Bacterial small subunit ribosomal RNA", at positions 338 to 795 of the family's 1533-position model. The record is from RNAcentral.
CCUACGGGUGACAGCAGUGAGGAAUAUUGGUCAAUGGACGAGAGUCUGAACCAGCCAAGUAGCGUGAAGGAUGACUGCCAUAUGGGUUGUAAACUUCUUUUAUAAAGGAAUAAAACGAGGCACGUGUGCCUUUUUGCAUGUACUUUAUGAAUAAGGAUCGGCUAACUCCGUGCCAGCAGCCGCGGUAAUACGGAGGGUCCGAGCGUUAUCCGGAUUUAUUGGGUUUAAAGGGAGCGUAGACGGGUUGUUAAGUCAGUUGUGAAAGUUUGCGGCUCAACCGUAAAAUUGCAAUUGAAACUGGUAGUCUUGAGUACAGGAGAGGUAGGCGGAAUUCGUGGUGUAGCGGUGAAAUGCUUAGAUAUCACGAAGAACCCCGAUUGCGAAGGCAGCUUACUAAACUGUAACUGACAUUGAUGCUCGAAAGUGUGGGUAUCAAACAGGAUUAGAUACCCUGGUAGUC